UACGUAGGGGGCAAGCGUUGUCCGGAAUCAUUGGGCGUAAAGCGCGUGUAGGCGGCCUUGUAAGUCCGUUCUGAAAGCCCGGGGCUCAACCCCGGGAGGCGGAUGGAUACUGCAAGGCUCGAGUACGGAAGAGGCGAGUGGAAUUCCCGGUGUAGCGGUGAAAUGCGCAGAUAUCGGGAGGAACACCAAUGGCGAAGGCAGCGACCUGGGCCAAUACUGACGCUGAGGUGCGAAAGCGUGGGGAGCAAACAGG
Molecule: ribosomal RNA, 253 nt
Filed under: uncultured bacterium
Lineage: Bacteria
Description: partial 16S ribosomal RNA
Rfam family: Bacterial small subunit ribosomal RNA
Source: RNAcentral